UGUGGUCGAUGACUGGGGGGAAGUCGUAACAAGGUAGCUGUAGGUGAACCUGCAGAAGGAUCA
This 63-nucleotide ribosomal RNA is filed under the name uncultured eukaryote. Its description in RNAcentral is "partial small subunit ribosomal RNA". The record is from RNAcentral.